RNAcentral lists this ribosomal RNA (404 nucleotides) under Fusobacteriota bacterium. RNAcentral describes it as "Fusobacteria bacterium partial 16S ribosomal RNA". It matches the Rfam family "Bacterial small subunit ribosomal RNA", at positions 355 to 776 of the family's 1533-position model. Lineage: Bacteria; Fusobacteriati; Fusobacteriota. The record is from RNAcentral.
UGGGGAAUAUUGCACAAUGGAGGGAACUCUGAUGCAGCGACGCCGCGUGAGUGAUGAAGGAAUUCGUUUCGUAAAACUCUGUUCUAUGGGAAGAAAAGGACUGUACCAUAGGAGAAAGCUCCGGCUAAAUACGUGCCAGCAGCCGCGGUAAUACGUAUGGAGCGAGCGUUGUCCGGAAUUAUUGGGCGUAAAGGGUGCGCAGGCGGCUUUACAAGUUGGAUGUGAAAUAUUGUGGCUCAACCACAAACGUGCAUCCAAAGCUGCAAAGCUUGAGUUAAGGGGAGGUAAGUGGAAUUCCUGGUGUAGCGGUGGAAUGCGUAGAUAUCAGGAGGAAUACCGGUGGCGAAGGCGACUUACUGGACUUAAACUGACGCUCAGGCACGAAAGCGUGGGGAGAAAACAGG